Danio rerio (zebrafish) is the source of this 242-nucleotide non-coding RNA. Lineage: Eukaryota; Metazoa; Chordata; Actinopteri; Cypriniformes; Danionidae. The record is from RefSeq and is a predicted model, not a curated record.
CACACACACACACAUAUUUAUUGUUAUUAUUAUUACAGCUUGAUUAUGUGCUGGACCGAAAUCGCCCUGGCAGUGAAAUAAUUGUGAAGGAGGGGCAAGUGUGCCUUAUUCGAGAAGAAUUUUGGAGCCUUGGAUUGUUGAGGGACAUGGACUCCCAUAUUGGAAACGCCUGCAUGAAGCUUAUUUGUGAAAUGGCUCGACAAAUUGGCAAGGACAUAUACAUUGAGGACUUUUAUGUUGUC